RNAcentral lists this non-coding RNA (161 nucleotides) under Sus scrofa (pig). Its description in RNAcentral is "Eukaryotic large subunit ribosomal RNA". It matches the Rfam family "Eukaryotic large subunit ribosomal RNA", at positions 2825 to 2984 of the family's 3401-position model. Lineage: Eukaryota; Metazoa; Chordata; Mammalia; Artiodactyla; Suidae. The record is from Rfam by way of RNAcentral.
GAUAACUGGCUUGUGGUGGCCAAGACUGCAUAGCGACGUCACUUUUUGAUCCUUCAAUGCCGGCUCUUUCCUAUCAUCAUGAAGCAGAAUUCACCAAGCAUUGGAUUGUUCACCCACUAACAGGGAACAUGAGAUGGGUUUAGACUGGCACGAGACAGGUU